AUGCUACUCAUGCUUCAUCAUCUCAGGCCAAUGCAAGUAGCAACAACACAUGCUUCAGCAACUCAAGGAUACAUGAAUGUAACUCAGUAUUCUCAAGAAAAGGCAAUAUUAGGAGGGAAAGGCAUAAGAGAAAAGGCAAAAGGAACUGGCGAUCCAUAUAAACUUGAUGUAAGAAGGCCCUUUGUAUCCCUAGGACCAACAACAAGAUUAUAUGCAUCCAAGAAUAUGGUUGGUCCUACCGUCAGGAGGUCUACUCCAACCAAGAGAAUCACACCAAAGAGAACCAUAUAG
Vicia faba (fava bean) is the source of this 291-nucleotide non-coding RNA. Lineage: Eukaryota; Viridiplantae; Streptophyta; Magnoliopsida; Fabales; Fabaceae. The record is from the annotation of a GenBank genome assembly.